GACGAACGCUGGCGGCGUGCCUAAUACAUGCAAGUUGAGCGCUGAAGGUUGGUACUUGUACCGACUGGAUGAGCAGCGAACGGGUGAGUAACGCGUGGGGAAUCUGCCUUUGAGCGGGGGACAACAUUUGGAAACGAAUGCUAAUACCGCAUAAAAACUUUAAACACAAGUUUUAAGUUUGAAAGAUGCAAUUGCAUCACUCAAAGAUGAUCCCGCGUUGUAUUAGCUAGUUGGUGAGGUAAAGGCUCACCAAGGCGAUGAUACAUAGCCGACCUGAGAGGGUGAUCGGCCACAUUGGGACUGAGACACGGCCCAAACUCCUACGGGAGGCAGCAGUAGGGAAUCUUAGGCAAUGGAAGAAAGUCUGACCGAGCAACGCCGCGUGAGUGAAGAAGGUUUUCGGAUCGUAAAACUCUGUUGGUAGAGAAGAACGUUGGUGAGAGUGGAAAGCUCAUAAAGUGACGGUAACUACCCAGAAAGGGACGGCUAACUACGUG
RNAcentral lists this ribosomal RNA (497 nucleotides) under uncultured bacterium. RNAcentral's name for it is "partial 16S ribosomal RNA". It matches the Rfam family "Bacterial small subunit ribosomal RNA", at positions 28 to 507 of the family's 1533-position model. The record is from RNAcentral.